This 470-nucleotide ribosomal RNA is filed under the name uncultured bacterium. RNAcentral's name for it is "partial 16S ribosomal RNA". It matches the Rfam family "Bacterial small subunit ribosomal RNA", at positions 28 to 523 of the family's 1533-position model. The record is from RNAcentral.
GACGAACGCUGGCGGCGUGCUUAACACAUGCAAGUCGAGCGGGGAACUUCGGUUCCCAGCGGCGGACGGGUGAGUAACACGUGGGUAACCUGCCUUACAGUGGGGAAUAGCCUUCCGAAAGGAAGAUUAAUACCGCAUAAUACUCAGAGAUCACAUGAUCUUUGAGCCAAAGGAUUUAUUCGCUGUAAGAUGGACCCGCGGCACAUUAGCUUGUUGGUGAGGUAACGGCUCACCAAGGCUUCGAUGCGUGGCUGACCUGAGAGGGUGAUCGGCCACAUUGGAACUGAGACACGGUCCAGACUCCUACGGGAGGCAGCAGUGGGGAAUAUUGCACGAUGGAGGAAACUCUGAUGCAGCAACGCCGCGUGAGUGAUGAAGGUCUUCGGAUCGUAAAACUCUGUCUUAUGGGACGAUAAUGACGGUACCAUAGGAGGAAGCCACGGCUAACUACGUGCCAGCAGCCGCGGUAA